GAUGAAGAACGCAGCGAAAUGCGACAAGUAAUGUGAAUUGCAGAAUUCCGUGAAUCAUCGAAUCUUUGAACGCACAUUGCGCCCCCUGGUAUUCCGGGGGGCAUGCCUGUCCGAGCGUCAUUGCUGCCCUCAAGCACGGCUUGUGUGUUGGGCCUCCGUCCUCCUCCCGGGGGACGGGCCCGAAAGGCAGCGGCGGCACCGCGUCCGGUCCUCGAGCGUAUGGGGCUUCGUCACCCGCUCUUGUAGGCCCGGCCGGCGCUUGCCGACACAUCAAUCUUUUUUCCAGGUUGACCUCGGAUCAGGUAGGGAUACCCGCUGAACUUAAGCAUAUCAAUAAGCGGAGGA
This 345-nucleotide unclassified non-coding RNA is filed under the name soil metagenome. RNAcentral's name for it is "partial contains 5.8S ribosomal RNA, internal transcribed spacer 2, and large subunit ribosomal RNA". The stretch from base 1 to 120 matches the Rfam family "5.8S ribosomal RNA", at positions 35 to 154 of the family's 154-position model. The record is from RNAcentral.